RNAcentral lists this ribosomal RNA (279 nucleotides) under uncultured bacterium. RNAcentral describes it as "partial 16S ribosomal RNA". It matches the Rfam family "Bacterial small subunit ribosomal RNA", at positions 506 to 784 of the family's 1533-position model. The record is from RNAcentral.
UGCCAGCCGCCGCGGUAAUACGAAGGGGGCGAGCGUUGUUCGGAAUUAUUGGGCGUAAAGGGCGCGCAGGCGGUUUGGAUAGUUAGACGUGAAAGCCCUGGGCUUAACCUAGGAACUGCGUUUAAUACUGCCAAACUAGAGAACUAGAGAGGAUAGCGGAACUCCCAGUGUAGAGGUGAAAUUCGUAGAUAUUGGGAAGAACAUCAGUGGCGAAAGCGGCUGUCUGGCUAGUUUCUGACGCUGAGGCGCGAAAGCGUGGGGAGCAAACAGGAUUAGAUA